This 773-nucleotide ribosomal RNA is filed under the name uncultured Neocallimastigales. RNAcentral's name for it is "partial large subunit ribosomal RNA". It matches the Rfam family "Eukaryotic large subunit ribosomal RNA", at positions 20 to 640 of the family's 3401-position model. Lineage: Eukaryota; Fungi; Neocallimastigomycota; Neocallimastigomycetes; Neocallimastigales. The record is from RNAcentral.
CAUCACUACGCUAGAUGCAUAUCAAUAAGCGGAGGAAAAGAAACUAACAAGGAUUCCCCUAGUAACGGCGAGUGAAGCGGGAAGAGCUCAAAUUUGAAAUCUUCAAGGUUUGACCUUGACGAAUUGUAGUUUAAAGAAGUGUUUUCUGUUGGAGUUUUGGUAAAAGUUCUUUGGAAUAGGACAUCAUAGAGGGUGAGAAUCCCGUAUUUGACCAUUAUUUCCAACUUUGUGAUACACUUUCAAAGAGUCGGAUUGUUUGGGAAUGCAGUCCAAAAUGGGUGGUAAAUUUCAUCUAAAGCUAAAUACUGGCGAGAGACCGAUAGCGAACAAGUACCGUGAGGGAAAGAUGAAAAGAGCUUUGAAAAGAGAGUUAAACAGUACGUGAAAUUGUCAAAAGGGAAGCGUUUGACACCAGUGUUGUUUUUCCGAAAAUCAAUUAAGAAUGGCCGGAUUUUAAGUUUCAUGACCUUAAAAGCUUGUUUCUUAUUUUUCUUGUCUUUCUUAAUGCACUUUUCGGUUAACAAGUCAACAUCAAUUUCUUUUGUUGUAAAAGGUUAAGAGGAAGGUGGCUUUACUUUCGGGUAAAGUGUUUAUAGCCUUUUAACUCUGCAAUCGGAGAGAUUGAGGUCUGCAGCGUAGAUCCUUCGGGGCUAGAUACGUUUGUGCUAAGUUAUAGCUUUUCAUAGACAACUUGUUGACUAUGUUUAGUCUUGUAGCUUACUCGCAUGCGCUAUUUUACCUACGCUUAGGAUGUUGAUAUGCAUGACUGAUAU